Long non-coding RNA from Esox lucius (northern pike), 576 nucleotides. The record is from Ensembl. NCBI's taxonomy places the organism in Eukaryota, Metazoa, Chordata, Actinopteri, Esociformes, Esocidae.
UGCCUCUCCUGGAAUGUAGACCAGAGGCCUAUACUACAAGGAACCUCAUCUCCAUCUUCACCUCCACCCUCAUCUCCAUCUCCAUCUCCAACCUCAUCUCCACCUUCAUCCACAUCUCCACCUUCAUCUUCAUCUCCACUUCCCCCUCCAGAGUCAUGUAGUGACUCCAGAGUCUCUCUGUCCAGGCUGUUGUGUAGUCUACUGGUGGUGUCUCCAUACCUGAUAGUGACCACUGUACUGAUGGUGAAACACAGCAGGAACAGGAACAGAGCUAAAGAGAUAUUAUCAUUCCCAUCUCUGUAACAUUUCUGCUCUAUCUGAAGAAGAGAAGCUGUGAUGUCAUCACAUAAUCAGGAAGGAAUUUUCAGACAACUGAACUUCUCUCUAGAUGGGUUUGACUUGACUAACAUUACAUUAACCGAAAAUGACUACUGCAAAGACAACUUUUCACAUUAAUAUAAAAUUAUCAUGACAAACGUGACUGGUGAAACCAGUGUGUCAUUACUAACAGAAAGACAGUUGUAGUGUUAUAAUUAAUUCUAAACUAAGUGUCAAUAAUGUUAGCCAGCCUUCAAG